CCUACGGGUGGCAGCAGUGAGGAAUAUUGGUCAAUGGGCGCGAGCCUGAACCAGCCAAGUAGCGUGAAGGAUGACUGCCCUACGGGUUGUAAACUUCUUUUAUAAAGGAAUAAAGUGAGGCACGUGUGCCUUUUUGUAUGUACUUUAUGAAUAAGGAUCGGCUAACCCCGUGCCAGCAGCCGCGGUAAUACGGAGGUGCCGAGCGUUAUCCGGAUUUAUUGGGUUUAAAGGGAGCGUAGAUGGGUUGUUAAGUCAGUUGUGAAAGUUUGGGGGUCAACCGUAAAAUUGCAAUUGAUACUGGCAGCCUUGAGUGCAGUAGAGGUAGGCGGAAUGCGUGGUGUAGCGGUGAAAUGCUUAGAUAUCACGAAGAACUCCGAUUGCGAAGGCAGCUUACUAAUCUGCCACUGACAUUGAGGCUCGAAAGUGUGGGUAUCAAACAGGAUUAGAUACCCCAGUAGUC
RNAcentral lists this ribosomal RNA (460 nucleotides) under uncultured bacterium. RNAcentral describes it as "partial 16S ribosomal RNA". It matches the Rfam family "Bacterial small subunit ribosomal RNA", at positions 338 to 795 of the family's 1533-position model. The record is from RNAcentral.